This 253-nucleotide ribosomal RNA is filed under the name uncultured bacterium. Its description in RNAcentral is "partial 16S ribosomal RNA". It matches the Rfam family "Bacterial small subunit ribosomal RNA", at positions 524 to 776 of the family's 1533-position model. The record is from RNAcentral.
UACGUAGGUGGCAAGCGUUGUCCGGAUUUACUGGGUGUAAAGGGCGUGCAGCCGGAGAGACAAGUCAGAUGUGAAAUCCACGGGCUCAACCCGUGAACUGCAUUUGAAACUGUUUCCCUUGAGUGUCGGAGAGGUAAUCGGAAUUCCUUGUGUAGCGGUGAAAUGCGUAGAUAUAAGGAAGAACACCAGUGGCGAAAGCGGCUCUCUGGUCUGUAACUGACGCUGAGGUUCGAAAGCGUGGGUAGCAAACAGG